Non-coding RNA from Amoeboaphelidium occidentale, 81 nucleotides. The record is from the annotation of a GenBank genome assembly. Lineage: Eukaryota; Fungi; Aphelidiomycota; Aphelidea.
GACAAUAUGGCCGAGCGGUUAAGGCGAUAGAUUAGAAAUCUAUUGGGAUUUCCCGCGCAAGUUCAAAUCUUGCUAUUGUCG